AUGGUAGACGAAGCACGAGAUGAAUCAAAGAAAGAGCAAAUGGCAUUGGUUCUUCGAUUCCCGAGCACCGAGGGGUUCAUACAGGAGCGUUUUCUUGAUGUAAUUCAUGUCACUGACACUACUGCUUUGACUCUCAAGAAGGCAAUUUGCAAAGUCCUUUCUGAUAAUAAUUUGAAUGUCCAAGACAUUAGAGGACAAGGCUAUGACGGGGCAAGUAAUAUGAGAGGUGAAUGGAAUGGAUUGAAGGCUCUAAUUCUGAAUGACUGCCCUUAUGCAUAUUAUGUGCAUUGCAUGGCUCAUUAG
Molecule: ribosomal RNA, 303 nt
Filed under: Triticum aestivum (bread wheat)
Lineage: Eukaryota; Viridiplantae; Streptophyta; Magnoliopsida; Poales; Poaceae
Description: partial small subunit ribosomal RNA
Source: RNAcentral